GACGAACGCUGGCGGCGCGCUUAACACAUGCAAGUCGAGCGAGAACCAGGGCUUCGGCCCUGGGGACAGCGGCGAACGGGUGAGUAACACGUGGAUAACCUGCCCUCGGCACCGGGAUAGCCCGGGGAAACCCGGAUUAAUACCGGAUGGCCCUUCCGGCUCACGAGCCGGUCGGAAAAGGUAGCUUCGGCCUCCGGCCGAGGAUGGGUCCGCGGCGGAUUAGCUUGUUGGUGGGGUAACGGCCCACCAAGGCUCCGAUCCGUAGCUGGUCUGAGAGGACGAGCAGCCACACUGAGACUGAGACACGGCCCAGACUCCUACGGGAGGCAGCAGUGGGGAAUCUUGCGCAAUGGGCGAAAGCCUGACGCAGCGACGCCGCGUGAGGGAGGAAGGCCUUCGGGUUGUAAACCUCUUUCAGGAGGGACGAAGCUACUCGGGUGAAUAGCCCAGAGGGUGACGGUACCUCCAGAAGAAGCCCCGGCUAACUACGUGCCAGCCGCCGCGGUAA
Molecule: ribosomal RNA, 508 nt
Filed under: uncultured bacterium
Lineage: Bacteria
Description: partial 16S ribosomal RNA
Rfam family: Bacterial small subunit ribosomal RNA
Source: RNAcentral